AAUUGUGAAAGUGGAAAAGAAAAGUGCAUUAAUAAAAAGAAAGAAGGUUCAAAGUUUAUGGUUUGAGAUUUGUCAUAUUAGCACUAUACCUAUAUAUAAAGGGGAUACACCUAUUUGGAGUGGCCUAUUUUUCUCCCGAUUUUACCCUUAGAUUUUUUAAUUCUUUUUAUUUUAUCCAAUAAUAAUAAUAAUAUGUGGCACUCAUACCAUCCCGCACUUAUGGAACAGUUUAAGAAAAUAUUUCACUUUAUAACUUCUCACGUUUUUAUUCCUAUUAUCAAAUUUUAACUCCUACAAAAUAGGAAUAGCAGUUACAACAUAUAAGAAAUGACAGUUUAAUUUUAAAUAAUGGAUGCAUUGGCUACACACAUAAAAUCCAAGUGUAAUGGGAGUUUAUGUGACAUCACCAAAAUAUUUCCUUAACUUCUCAAUAUCAAUGUUCUUAUUAUUGGCUGCUACAAAAACAAUUACCAACCAUAUUUAUCUUUCACCACAACAU
Molecule: long non-coding RNA, 499 nt
Filed under: Lathyrus oleraceus (garden pea)
Lineage: Eukaryota; Viridiplantae; Streptophyta; Magnoliopsida; Fabales; Fabaceae
Description: Pisum sativum (pea) long non-coding RNA (PSAT_LNC000656)
Source: RNAcentral